RNAcentral lists this ribosomal RNA (496 nucleotides) under uncultured bacterium. RNAcentral describes it as "partial 16S ribosomal RNA". It matches the Rfam family "Bacterial small subunit ribosomal RNA", at positions 28 to 506 of the family's 1533-position model. The record is from RNAcentral.
GAUGAACGCUGGCGGCGUGCCUAAUACAUGCAAGUCGAGCGAACAGACGAGGAGCUUGCUCCUCUGACGUUAGCGGCGGACGGGUGAGUAACACGUGGAUAACCUACCUAUAAGACUGGGAUAACUUCGGGAAACCGGAGCUAAUACCGGAUAAUAUAUUGAACCGCAUGGUUCAAUAGUGAAAGACGGUUUUGCUGUCACUUAUAGAUGGAUCCGCGCCGCAUUAGCUAGUUGGUAAGGUAACGGCUUACCAAGGCAACGAUGCGUAGCCGACCUGAGAGGGGGAUCGGCCACACUGGAGCUGAGACACGGUCCAGACUCCGACGGGAGGCAGCAGUAGGGAAUCGUCCGCAAUGGGCGAAAGCCUGACGGAGCAACGCCGCGUGAAUGAUGAAGGUCUUCGGAUCGUAAAACUCUGUUAUUAGGGAAGAACAAAUGUGUAAGUAACUAUGCACGUCUUGACGGUACCUAAUCAGAAAGCCACGGCUAACUACGU